AACGAACGCUGGCGGCAGGCCUAACACAUGCAAGUCGAGCGCCCAGCAAUGGGAGCGGCGCACGGGUGAGUAACACGUGGGAACGUGCCCUUUGGUUCGGAAUAACGCAGGGAAACUUGCGCUAAUACCGGAUAAGCCCUACGGGGGAAGAUUUAUCGCCAUUGGAGCGGCCCGCGUCUGAUUAGCUAGUUGGUGAGGUAACGGCCCACC
Molecule: ribosomal RNA, 210 nt
Filed under: uncultured bacterium
Lineage: Bacteria
Description: partial 16S ribosomal RNA
Rfam family: Bacterial small subunit ribosomal RNA
Source: RNAcentral